UAAUAGUGUAUAUUAAAGUUGUUGCAGUUAAAAAGCUCGUAGUUGAAUGUUGGUAUCGAACGAGCGGUCAGCUUCGGCUGUACUGCUCUCUCGACUCCUUCCUUCUGUGGACUACGUCGCACUUUACUGUGUGGCGCUAGGACGCAGAUCGUUUACUGUGAAAAAAUUAGAGUGUUCAAAGCAGGCCGUACGCUUGAAUACAUUAGCAUGGAAUAAUGGAAUAGGACGUCGGGCCUAUUUUGUUGGUUCUAGGACCGUCGUAAUGAUUAAUAGGGACAGUUGGGGCCGUUUAUAUUCCGUAGUCAGAGGUGAAAUUCUUGGAUUUGCGGAAGAUAAACUACUGCGAAAGCAUUCGGCAAGGAUGUUUNCGUUA
Molecule: ribosomal RNA, 373 nt
Filed under: uncultured eukaryote
Lineage: Eukaryota
Description: partial 18S ribosomal RNA
Rfam family: Eukaryotic small subunit ribosomal RNA
Source: RNAcentral